This 210-nucleotide ribosomal RNA is filed under the name uncultured bacterium. RNAcentral's name for it is "partial 16S ribosomal RNA". It matches the Rfam family "Bacterial small subunit ribosomal RNA", at positions 1291 to 1500 of the family's 1533-position model. The record is from RNAcentral.
GUUCGGAUUGUAGGCUGCAACUCGCCUACAUGAAGUCGGAAUUGCUAGUAAUCGCGGAUCAGCAUGCCGCGGUGAAUACGUUCCCGGGCCUUGUACACACCGCCCGUCACACCAUGGGAGUCGGUAACACCCGAAGCCUGUAGUCUAACCGCAAGGAGGACGCAGUCGAAGGUGGGAUUGAUGACUGGGGUGAAGUCGUAACAAGGUAUC